UUGAAGAAUUUGAAAACUUCAACUUGCAGGCUUAAAGAAUUUGAAGACUUUAACUUGAAGACUUAAAGAAUUUGAAGACUUCAACU
This 86-nucleotide microRNA precursor is filed under the name Solanum tuberosum (potato). RNAcentral's name for it is "MIR8024 microRNA precursor family". It matches the Rfam family "MIR8024 microRNA precursor family". The record is from Rfam by way of RNAcentral. Lineage: Eukaryota; Viridiplantae; Streptophyta; Magnoliopsida; Solanales; Solanaceae.